GAUGAACGCUGGCGGCGUGCCUAAUACAUGCAAGUCGAGCGAACGGACGAGAAGCUUGCUUCUCUGAUGUUAGCGGCGGACGGGUGAGUAACACGUGGAUAACCUACCUAUAAGACUGGGAUAACUUCGGGAAACCGGAGCUAAUACCGGAUAAUAUUUUGAACCGCAUGGUUCAAAAGUGAAAGACGGUCUUGCUGUCACUUAUAGAUGGAUCCGCGCUGCAUUAGCUAGUUGGUAAGGUAACGGCUUACCAAGGCAACGAUGCAUAGCCGACCUGAGAGGGUGAUCGGCCACACUGGAACUGAGACACGGUCCAGACUCCUACGGGAGGCAGCAGUAGGGAAUCUUCCGCAAUGGGCGAAAGCCUGACGGAGCAACGCCGCGUGAGUGAUGAAGGUCUUCGGAUCGUAAAACUCUGUUAUUAGGGAAGAACAUAUGUGUAAGUAACUGUGCACAUCUUGACGGUACCUAAUCAGAAAGCCACGGCUAACUACGUGCCAGCAGCCGCGGUAAUACGUAGGUGGCAAGCGUUAUCCGGAAUUAUUGGGCGUAAAGCGCGCGUAGGCGGUUUUUUAAGUCUGAUGUGAAAGCCCACGGCUCAACCGUGGAGGGUCAUUGGAAACUGGAAAACUUGAGUGCAGAAGAGGAAAGUGGAAUUCCAUGUGUAGCGGUGAAAUGCGCAGAGAUGUGGAGGAACACCAGUGGCGAAGGCGACUUUCUGGUCUGUAACUGACGCUGAUGUGCGAAAGCGUGGGGAUCAAACAGGAUUAGAUACCCUGGUAGUCCACGCCGUAAACGAUGAGUGCUAAGUGUUAGGGGGUUUCCGCCCCUUAGUGCUGCAGCUAACGCAUUAAGCACUCCGCCUGGGGAGUACGACCGCAAGGUUGAAACUCAAAGGAAUUGACGGGGACCCGCACAAGCGGUGGAGCAUGUGGUUUAAUUCGAAGCAACGCGAAGAACCUUACCAAAUCUUGACAUCCUUUGACAACUCUAGAGAUAAAGCCUUCCCCUUCGGGGGACAAAGUGACAGGUGGUGCAUGGUUGUCGUCAGCUCGUGUCGUGUGAUGUUGGGUUAAGUCCCGCAACGAGCGCAACCCUUAAGCUUAGUUGCCAUCAUUAAGUUGGGCACUCUAAGUUGACUGCCGGUGACAAACCGGAGGAAGGUGGGGAUGACGUCAAAUCAUCAUGCCCCUUAUGAUUUGGGCUACACACGUGCUACAAUGGACAAUACAAAGGGCAGCGAAACCGCGAGGUCAAGCAAAUCCCAUAAAGUUGUUCUCAGUUCGGAUUGUAGUCUGCAACUCGACUACAUGAAGCUGGAAUCGCUAGUAAUCGUAGAUCAGCAUGCUACGGUGAAUACGUUCCCGGGUCU
RNAcentral lists this ribosomal RNA (1372 nucleotides) under uncultured bacterium. RNAcentral's name for it is "bacterial SSU rRNA". It matches the Rfam family "Bacterial small subunit ribosomal RNA", at positions 28 to 1381 of the family's 1533-position model. The record is from RNAcentral.